CUACGGAGGGUGCAAGCGUUAAUCGGAAUUACUGGGCGUAAAGCGUACGUAGGCGGUUAGUUAAGUUAGAUGUGAAAGCCCCGGGCUUAACCUGGGAACUGCAUUUAAAACUGGCUAACUAGAGUUAAGUAGAGGGGAGUGGAAUUUCAGGUGUAGCGGUGAAAUGCGUAGAGAUCUGAAGGAACACCAGUGGCGAAGGCGACUCCCUGGACUUGAACUGACGCUGAGGUACGAAAGCGUGGGUAGCAAACGGAAUUAGAAACCCCAGUAGUCC
This 274-nucleotide ribosomal RNA is filed under the name uncultured bacterium. RNAcentral describes it as "partial 16S ribosomal RNA". It matches the Rfam family "Bacterial small subunit ribosomal RNA", at positions 523 to 796 of the family's 1533-position model. The record is from RNAcentral.